GGAUGGUGGACGCUGUGAUACCUGCCAAGCACCUGACAGCAGAGGACCACUGUUCAAGACCAACAAAAGAAGAAUUUCGCCUUAUUGGAUUUCUUCACCGUGGAGGCAUGCAAGUCACUAGGUGUUUGUAGGAAAAGUGUCUGUGGCCAGCUGGCCCCAUUCCACCGUACGGACAACUUCCUCCUGAGCCUCCAUAAUCAC
Epinephelus moara (kelp grouper) is the source of this 201-nucleotide long non-coding RNA. RefSeq lists it as uncharacterized. The record is from RefSeq and is a predicted model, not a curated record. The transcript has 3 exons. Lineage: Eukaryota; Metazoa; Chordata; Actinopteri; Perciformes; Serranidae.